Molecule: ribosomal RNA, 588 nt
Filed under: Aspergillus sydowii
Lineage: Eukaryota; Fungi; Ascomycota; Eurotiomycetes; Eurotiales; Aspergillaceae
Description: partial large subunit ribosomal RNA
Rfam family: Eukaryotic large subunit ribosomal RNA
Source: RNAcentral
GGAGGAAAAGAAACCAACCGGGAUUGCCUCAGUAACGGCGAGUGAAGCGGCAAGAGCUCAAAUUUGAAAUCUGGCCCCUCCGGGGUCCGAGUUGUAAUUUGCAGAGGAUGCUUCGGGUGCGGCCCCUGUCUAAGUGCCCUGGAACGGGCCGUCAGAGAGGGUGAGAAUCCCGUCUUGGGCAGGGUGCCCGUGCCCGUGUGAAGCUCCUUCGACGAGUCGAGUUGUUUGGGAAUGCAGCUCAAAAUGGGUGGUAAAUUUCAUCUAAAGCUAAAUACCGGCCGGAGACCGAUAGCGCACAAGUAGAGUGAUCGAAAGAUGAAAAGCACUUUGAAAAGAGAGUUAAACAGCACGUGAAAUUGUUGAAAGGGAAGCGCUUGCAACCAGACUCGGCCUCGGGGUUCAGCCAGCAUUCGUGCUGGUGUACUUCCCCGGGGCCGGGCCAGCGUCGGUUUGGGCGGCCGGUCAAAGGCCCCAGGAAUGUAUCGUCCUCCGGGACGUCUUAUAGCCUGGGGUGCAAUGCGGCCAGCCUGGACCGAGGAACGCGCUUCGGCACGGACGCUGGCGUAAUGGUCGCAAACGACCCGUCUU